RNAcentral lists this ribosomal RNA (487 nucleotides) under uncultured bacterium. Its description in RNAcentral is "bacterial SSU rRNA". It matches the Rfam family "Bacterial small subunit ribosomal RNA", at positions 28 to 526 of the family's 1533-position model. The record is from RNAcentral.
GACGAACGCUGGCGGCGUGCUUAACACAUGCAAGUCGAACGAUGAACUGAGAGCUUGCUCUUGGGGAUUAGUGGCGAACGGGUGAGUAACACGUGAGCAACCUGCCCUUGACUCUGGGAUAAGCGCUGGAAACGGCGUCUAAUACUGGAUAUGACCAAAGUAGGCAUCUUCUUUGGUGGAAAGAUUUUUUGGUCAAGGAUGGGCUCGCGGCCUAUCAGCUUGUUGGUGAGGUAAUGGCUCACCAAGGCGACGACGGGUAGCCGGCCUGAGAGGGUGACCGGCCACACUGGGACUGAGACACGGCCCAGACUCCUACGGGAGGCAGCAGUGGGGAAUAUUGCACAAUGGGCGAAAGCCUGAUGCAGCAACGCCGCGUGAGGGAUGACGGCCUUCGGGUUGUAAACCUCUUUUAGCAGGGAAGAAGCGCAAGUGACGGUACCUGCAGAAAAAGCACCGGCUAACUACGUGCCAGCCGCCGCAGUAAUAC